GUAGGUACAACGGAAGAACAUGAAACCACAAUGCCAUUUUGCAAUGGAGCACCACCAUGCAAUCGCAUGACCGCUCCUCCCUUACCCAAGAUAUCAGUAGAUUCCAUCAAGCCUCCAAUGUGUGCGUUAGCCCAGCUCACCAAUCUAUACCAGAAAAGUUUAAGGAUUCGCUCGAGACGUGAGCGCUUCUGCAAGGUCAGCUUAAGUGCCUCUAAAAGAACGCCCAGUGGAACAUGAAAAAAUGGCCACAGACGUAGAGGAGCAACAGAAAAAAGUGCUACAGAAAAAUGAACACAAAAUACAGCCAGAAGAAGGAGUCAUGUCAAGGCCGAGACUCAGAAGUCUCACUAGGAAUCGCCCUAAUAUGAAUGAAGACAGAGCUUCUGUUGAUUUGAACAUCCCCCAGAGGGCCUCAACCAAGGAUAAUAUAAUUGAUUCCGACACCAGAAUGUCUUGCUGAUUGGCAUUGAAAUGUGGCCAGCAAAACUACAAAAAAUGCUUUAAAAAAUGCUUUAUAUGCUAAAACUAAAAGAGCUUGGUGCUUUCAGCAGCUCUAGUUCAAGAUAAAUAAUCUAGAGACCCGUAACAACAUUUCAAUGCAUUACUUUUGUUUCUGUCAGGCAUCAAAUUCAUCCCCCACCCCCACCCCCACCCUUGUCCAUGCCCAUUUUAGCCACACUCUUCACUGAAAAAAAUGAUACUUUGGACCAACUUAAAAAAAUUACUCUAAUUUGUUACAUUUAAAUUUAUUAAUUUUUCUCCAAUUAUAUUUAUGAUUCAGUCAAAAUCCUAUAUUUUAAUUUAAUAUCAACUAAAAUAUUUAUUUACUCAAACUUAAAAAAAAUACUUGCAAUCAAAGUAAAAAGACUACUUAUUAUAAAGACCACAUACUCAUUUAUUAACUUUGUUUCAACUUAUUUUUUUAAUUUAGGAAAAAUUAUAUUUACUAUUACAUUCAAGUAUAGUUUUUACUUUUAAGUAAACUAAUUAAAUUACUCUAAUUUUGUUACAUGCAAUUUUAUAAAUUUUUCUCAAGUUAAUUUCCUGAGUCAGUACAAACUACAAUUUCUUGCUUAAUCUUAAACUUGCUUAAAUGUAUUUUCUUUAAUCACAAAACUUACUAAAUGUAGGGCAACAUAUUCACAAACAAAAGCUACAUUUUACAUGGAUAGAUUUUUCACUUUUGAUACAUUUAAAACAAUGUUUGAUUUGGUUUACUCACAACAAAUAAAAGACAAGAAUAUUUUCCUCAAAAGACCAUAAUAUUUAUUCAGAUGUCUUAACAUUUACCAACUUUUCUGUAGAUACCAAAAGAUAUAAAAACACUAAAAAAAUCAUAAUAAUCAAAUAAGUAAAAUAUCACUAUGAUUAAAAAAAAUGCAUUUUAAAGCUAGUAAAGCUCGGCACCAACACAAUCUACUAAACAUAAAAAACACAGAAACAAAAUACACUAAAUAAAAUUAAUUACGGCCUUUUCAAUGUUUCUUCUUUUAAGUUUUUGCAAUAUUUCUAUAACCUUAAACAUAUACACCGACCAGUGCCACGUGUGAAACUGUACAUUUCUCCUUGAGACAGCCAUUAAGAACUAAAAAAACAGUUGUAAAACAGUGAAGAGCUGUUAACUUUAUCCAUUGGUGAACUGACCAGAACGUAUUAAUGGUACAUUACAAAGUGAAGGCAAAAAAUAAUAAAACUGAACCAAGUUAAACCAGGUCAAUUGCUAGGAGUGCAAUCUAUGAACAAAGGUUAGCACUUUUGCUGAUUGUGAAUUUAGCAUAUUCACAUUUUCAGUGCCACAAUACCUCUAUUACAAAGAAUUAUGUAAACAAUGACCUGUUCCAUUAUCCUAAAAUGUAUCUAAAUACAAGCAACAAACAAAACAUGCUGCAUCCAAAUGUCUUUCUUUGAUAAAUCCAAUAUUUAAAGCUUGGCACUAAGACUGCA
Molecule: long non-coding RNA, 1944 nt
Organism: Pygocentrus nattereri (red-bellied piranha)
Lineage: Eukaryota; Metazoa; Chordata; Actinopteri; Characiformes; Serrasalmidae
Exons: 4
Source: RefSeq, a predicted model, not a curated record